GGGGCAGUAGCUCAGUGGUAGGGUUUCCGUGUGGUGUGCUGGAAGACCUGAAUUCGAUUCUCGGCUGCUUCC
Molecule: transfer RNA, 72 nt
Filed under: Toxocara canis (dog roundworm)
Lineage: Eukaryota; Metazoa; Nematoda; Chromadorea; Rhabditida; Toxocaridae
Rfam family: tRNA
About the family: Transfer RNA (tRNA) molecules are approximately 80 nucleotides in length. Their secondary structure includes four short double-helical elements and three loops (D, anti-codon, and T loops). Further hydrogen bonds mediate the characteristic L-shaped molecular structure. tRNAs have two regions of fundamental functional importance: the anti-codon, which is responsible for specific mRNA codon recognition, and the 3' end, to which the tRNAs corresponding amino acid is attached (by aminoacyl-tRNA synthetases). tRNAs cope with the degeneracy of the genetic code in two manners: having more than one tRNA (with a specific anti-codon) for a particular amino acid; and 'wobble' base-pairing, i.e. permitting non-standard base-pairing at the 3rd anti-codon position.
Source: Rfam by way of RNAcentral